GAGGGUGAAGUAUUUGCCUGUACGUCUCAGUUACAUUGAGAAAGACCACCUAUUGGCGCCCUUU
RNAcentral lists this transfer RNA (64 nucleotides) under Dolabella auricularia (sea hare). RNAcentral's name for it is "tRNA-Val". The record is from RNAcentral. Lineage: Eukaryota; Metazoa; Mollusca; Gastropoda; Aplysiida; Aplysiidae.